This is a long non-coding RNA of Varanus komodoensis (Komodo dragon), 2162 nucleotides long. RefSeq lists it as uncharacterized. The transcript has 4 exons. Lineage: Eukaryota; Metazoa; Chordata; Lepidosauria; Squamata; Varanidae. The record is from RefSeq and is a predicted model, not a curated record.
AGCUCAUUGUUCAAUAUAACUAGCACAGGCAACCAAAGCCUGGAGAGAGAGGGGGAGAGAGAGAGAUUCUCCACUUGCUGCCACCACCACCCCUUCUCUGUAUCCCCCCACCCCUUUUUGAGGCUGCACUCUUGAAAGAGUUGCAGCUAUUCCUCCCCACACCCCCUCAACCAGCCCACUCUCCCCCUUCUCUCUCUCUCUCUCCCCCUCUCUCUCCCCCACCUCUAUAAAUUCUCUUCUGUAGCAUGCUGCCCUUUUAAAAUCCACAUUUGUGUUCCAGAUCAUGUAGCAAAGACAGAAAGUGAGAAGGGAGCAGGGGCUUUUGUCUAGUAUUUUCUUCGUGCUGCCAGAGAAAACAGUGCAGUCCUAAGUCUUAAUAGAAUCUGAGAAUGAUUUAUCAUCCAAGACUCACAACCAGCCAGAAACACAUUCCAAUCAGCCAUGGGCAUGGAGGAUUUCUCAAGGACAAUCUUCCCAUCCCAAAGGAAGUCAAUCGCAAAAAGAACAAGAAAUCUGAAGCUCUGUUCCUGACACCAGCAAAUGACUAUGGACACCAUUUCACCAAAAUCAAUUACCUCUCCUCUUUUUAAUCAUAACUCCUCAUUUGUAUUAAAUAUGGUGUAUGGGUGUUGAUGAGGUCAUCAUGGUGUCAUAUAUCGGGAAUUGUUUCUGUGUAAAUCAUAAGAAGAAAACUACGGGACUCUGAGCCUUGCUUUAGAGAAUUACAGUGGGGGAAAAUAUGUACCAUAAAACCAGUUUUUAAUCAUUCUGACUCAAGUAAAAGCUCUCAGAAUUUCACACUGUGAAUCCAAGUUUACAAACAUUACAGGUGAGCCUUCAGGCCUGGUUCUGCCACAGCAAUGUCUUCCACUACUCAAACUCAACUGACCACAUGCAACUGGUAUACUGCUGCCUCUUCAUUUCCAUGAUUCUGAACUGCUUUUUGCAGAGGCUGAGAGUCCCCCUUUUAUUUCAUUUUAGAUGUAACAAAGCCUAGUAGUUUAUUUUCAUCGAUUGUCUGUAUAUCUCUAUAUUUUAUCCAUGUACUCUUUUGAUGUAUAGAAGUAGUAUGAAACUCAUGGUUUCCUUGUGGUAAGUGACUGAGAUGCUGCCACGGGAUUUGAGACACUGAUGAAUGGUGCUAUUUUGGACUUUGAACAUACUCCUUGGCAAGGUAGCUCUGAUGGAGUUAUUUUUAAUUUCCAUGUUCUAAGAAGGUAUUGGUACUUUGUUCUCGUUCUUUAGACUGGACUGACUUGUUUCCUUGUGUCUUCAGUGUGGCUUUCUUAUUCAGUGUUGUAGGGUGAGUAAUUACUAAUAAAGCAAGUAAGGAACUGAUUCCCACCUGGGUGUGCUCGCAAACUUUCAAUGGUAGUGGGAGCAAUCACAAAACUGUAAUUUACUAUAUUUUCCUUUCCAACAUUCUGCUUACAUAAUUUGGAUAAAGUAUAGCAAUAAUUUUCUUACGGUUUUUGGGGAACUUCUUCUGUGUUUACUUUUCUGAUCCAUUAGGAAGGCAUAUUAUUUUUAAAGGGAGGUUAGCAUGUUUUGAAUGUCCUUUAAAAUUGAUUAAAUUGGCUAUACAUAUUUAAAAAGCAUAAUUAAUUGUUCUUUUGAAUGUGUUUAAAGACAAGCUCUUAAAAUGUAAUGAAUAUAAUUCCACAGUAUUUCCAAUAUGUGGAUUUUACAUUUUUGUUCUUGCUCCCAGGGAAUUAGAAAACAAAAUACAAUACAAAACAAAAAAUACCAUCUACUCAUGGAAUGUUGUUGUGUUAGACACAGUCUGGAAGCCCACCUUAAUUUUUAUAUAACUCUUGUCCUUCAGCUCUUCCUCUUACUGGGCAGUCUUUGUCCCAAACUACUUAGCUUUUGACUGUUAAAUACCAAUGCAUGCACUGCACUUCUUAGUUAUCUUUCCCUUCCCACCCCCAGUUCUUGUGCACUUUCUUUCUUGUAGAUUAGAUAAGUUGAUUGUGCUGUACAUACAUAUAGCAAGAAACAGUAUUCAGCAGUUGUGGCAUUUAUGUAUAGUUGCAGUUGUGUACUGCUGAAAAUGCAGGCUUUUGUAACAGUGUGAUCUUUAAUAAUGCACUACAAGUACCCAAUGUAUUUUAGCUCUUUUAGUAGGAUUUGUUCAAUAAAUAUGCAAGCUCUAAGAGUAA